UAUAUAUAUAUAUAUAUAUAGAUAUCUGCCUGACAACCCAGGCAGUCCCCCAGCAGGCAUCCUUGCAAUCCGGCCAAUAAGAAUAAUGUGAUUUGCUGUGUCAUUGCAAUGACAUGACUCAAAGCAGCCAAUAAAAUCUAGCAACUGGUAAAUCACUAGAAGUUAAAUUACUUUGUUUAUGCAGCUGUAGUCACACCUACCUACACAAUUUGUCUACAUAUGUCCUGUAAAGAGAGAAAUAGAGGGCUAUGAAGUGGGAACUCAAAGAGCAUUUAAAAAAAUUUUAGGUCAAAGUAGCUGAACUGGAAAAAUUCUCUAAGGCAGUUAAACAUAAAGUUGGCUACUUUGGUCUAAGAGUUAUAAUUUUCUUUGAAUUCUAACUUAAGAGAAUAACCCUGCAUAUGUUUAAACUUCCUUUAUUGCACAGUGUUUGGUUUAUAAUUUUGUAUCUCCUGUGGUGUUAAAGGACCACUAAAGUCUCCCAGACCACUUCAUCUCAAUUAAGUAACCUGGGUGCAAUGGUUCUGUCAUUUUAACCCUGCAAUGUAAACCACUGCAGUUUUGUAGGCACUGUAAUGUUUACAUUGAAGACGUAAACAAACCUUUACUGUCUGUCUUCCAGAUAUCCAUAGCCACGAGAGUUGCUUCCUCUACACCUAUAUUGUUUCUUUAAUGUCCUGCAGGAGGCACCAGUGUGUGAUUAAAAUUCAGCUAGCAGAGCAGGAGAUAGAAACAUCUAGGUAAACACUAUGUGCUGUCACAGCCGGGGGGGUGUGGCUAGUGCUGGGUAAUCAGAAAUAAAAGUGAUUUAACUCCUAGUUGGUCGAUAGUUGACAAAUGAGACUACAGGAGCAGUACAAGUGCUUCAUUAAGCUACCCUUGUUGUGGAGUUUUUAGAGUAUCGCUUUAGAUUAAUUUAUCUUCCACAAUUUAUUUUCUUAUUUGUGGAAAUUUCUUACCGUUUAUAUGAAAGAACAAAAAAUAGCAUUUUACAAUAUUUAAUUUAUAUACAUUUGUUUUGAUUUCAAUGUAUUCAUGAUGUGCAGUUUUGGCUUAAUGAAUUAAUUUGUCUGAGGUCCAGAAACCAGGGUGCCUUACUGAAGUUUUUAUUACGUGCAGUAAAAUGUGUUGCAGGCCCCUCUUUCAGGAAAAACUUGAAGUGAGCUUUUGUACAAUGACUGUUUAAAAAAGUUUGCUAGUCAACAAACCUGGUUAUAAAAAUACAACCAAAACACCUGCCACAACCUCAUUUCAUCCAUCCUAGCCUUACAGCCUGAGCUCAGACAUGAGCUACAAUUGAUUGUAUGUUACUUGUGAUUGUAUGAUAUUUCAUUUAGUAAUAUGAUCAUUUCUCCAUCCCUCAGUAGUUAAGUAUUUGACCCCUGUUUUCUUACCAGAUGGCACUGUAAGCGGAAUAAAUUGUCGAACUGAAUCUGUAUGAGAAGGGGUAAAUAUUCACUUCAGUUGGACAACUUGGUCCAUCUGAAUCUGUGAUAGCAAACCAAUAGCAUGCCAGAUGUUUUGGAUUUUGCUCUCCCUCAAUAUGAAUUCUAGUCUAAAACAGCUAGCAAACUAUUAGUUUAUCAACUCUGACCUGGGUUAAGAAACCUGUGGCUUAAUUUAUGGCCGUCAUUGGAUUGGCCUUGGGUUGCCCAUUUCCAAUCGUGACUAGCCUUGUGCAAAAAUAAUUUACAGCUAGUUUGUCCGAAUCAAGUUCUUUUUAUUCCACGCACAAACAAAUUGAUUGGUAAGGUAUUUCCCCUUCAAUGGCAGAUAGAUUCGUUUUGAGUGAAUCAUAAAUAUGAUUUGAACAAACUGGCAGCAACUAUUGUUUGCACAAUUCUAGUCUGGAGUACCCCUAUUGAAGAAAAAGGAAAAUAAAUUUAAAAAAAUAUAUAUGUAUAAUUUUUUUUUUUUUUAUGCAUUUACUUUAUAAGGAAAUGAUUUGGGCCUCUCAUUCUCAACCUGCUGGAUUUCCCAUUUAGAGCAAAAAUAUUGCACAUGAUGCUGGAAAUUAGGAACAACUAUGAACAUUCUUCAUUAAAAUGUUGACAUUUCAACUUAAACUCUUUGAAACUCCUGUUUGUGCUCAUAAAUAAACUCAGCAGUUUUGUAGAAAAUGAAGUAUCGCGAACAGUACUUCCUGGAUUGAUUGUAACCCCCUCCACUUAGUUUUGCCACAUAUAAAUUGAGAUAAACCCGUUCACCAAAGAAUCAAUUCAAACCUUUUAUUUCAAUAAUUACACAUUCUAUUAAUACCUUAUUGCAGGAAAUAUGUGUACCCUAUGUCAUUUUAAAGAUGUUUUAGACAACAGCUUCAUUGUCCUGCAAUAUAACAUCCAUGAAAAGGUUUUUCAUCCACUGCUUGGGCUGUGUCUUGUUUUCUGUGACUAAUCUUGGGAGUGAUACAAAUGAUUUAACUUUACCACGUAUAGUAGGAAUGGAGUUAUUCGGUUCUACCAGUAAUUGCUGUAAUGCCACAAGUGUAAAUCAAUAAAACAAAUAAAACCCCAACUCUGCUCUGCUA
RNAcentral lists this long non-coding RNA (2527 nucleotides) under Pelobates cultripes (western spadefoot toad). The record is from RNAcentral. Lineage: Eukaryota; Metazoa; Chordata; Amphibia; Anura; Pelobatidae.